This 493-nucleotide ribosomal RNA is filed under the name uncultured bacterium. RNAcentral describes it as "partial 16S ribosomal RNA". It matches the Rfam family "Bacterial small subunit ribosomal RNA", at positions 29 to 508 of the family's 1533-position model. The record is from RNAcentral.
AGUGAACGCUGGCGGUAGGCCUAACACAUGCAAGUCGAACGGCAGCACAGUAAGAGCUUGCUCUUACGGGUGGCAAGUGGCGGACGGGUGAGGAAUACAUCGGAAUCUACUUUUUCGUGGGGGAUAACGUAGGGAAACUUACGCUAAUACCGCAUACGACCUACGGGUGAAAGCAGGGGAUCUUCGGACCUUGCGCGAUUGAAUGAGCCGAUGUCGGAUUAGCUAGUUGGCGGGGUAAAGGCCCACCAAGGCGACGAUCCGUAGCUGGUCUGAGAGGAUGAUCAGCCACACUGGAACUGAGACACGGUCCAGACUCCUACGGGAGGCAGCAGUGGGGAAUAUUGGACAAGGGGCGCAAGCCUGAUCCAGCCAUACCGCGUGGGUGAAGAAGGCCUUCGGGUUGUAAAGCCCUUUUGUUGGGAAAGAAAAGCAGCAGGUUAAUACCCCGCUGUUCUGACGGUACCCAAAGAAUAAGCACCGGCUAACUUCGUGC